RNAcentral lists this ribosomal RNA (526 nucleotides) under uncultured bacterium. RNAcentral describes it as "partial 16S ribosomal RNA". It matches the Rfam family "Bacterial small subunit ribosomal RNA", at positions 355 to 874 of the family's 1533-position model. The record is from RNAcentral.
UAGGGAAUCUUCCACAAUGGACGCAAGUCUGAUGGAGCAACGCCGCGUGAGUGAAGAAGGUUUUCGGACCGUAAAGCUCUGUUGUUGGUGAAGAAGGAUAGAGGUAGUAACUGGCCUUUAUUUGACGGUAAUCAACCAGAAAGUCACGGCUAACUACGUGCCAGCAGCCGCGGUAAUCGUAGGUGGCAAGCGUUGUCCGGAUUUAUUGGGCGUAAAGCGAGCGCAGGCGGAAGAAUAAGUCUGAUGUGAAAGCCCUCGGCUUAACCGAGGAAUUGCAUCGGAAACUGUUUUCUUGAGUGCAGAAGAGGAGAGUAGAACUCCAUGUGUAGCGGUGGAAUGCGUAGAUAUAUGGAAGAAUACCAGUGGCGAAGGCGGCUCUCUGGUCUGCAACUGACGCUGAGGCUCGAAAGCAUGGGUAGCGAACAGGAUUAGAUACCCUGGUAGUCCAUGCCGUAAACGAUGAGUGCUAAGUGUUGGGAGGCUUCCGCCUCUCAGUGCUGCAGCUAACGCAUUAAGCACUCCGCCU